Molecule: ribosomal RNA, 492 nt
Filed under: uncultured bacterium
Lineage: Bacteria
Description: partial 16S ribosomal RNA
Rfam family: Bacterial small subunit ribosomal RNA
Source: RNAcentral
AGUGAACGCUGGCGGUAGGCCUAACACAUGCAAGUCGAACGGCAGCACAGUAAGAGCUUGCCCUUACGGGUGGCGAGUGGCGGACGGGUGAGGAAUACAUCAGAAUCUACUUUUUCGUGGGGGAUAACGUAGGGAAACUUACGCUAAUACCGCAUACGACCUACGGGUGAAAGCAGGGGAUCUUCGGACCUUGCGCGAUUGAAUGAGCCGAUGUCGGAUUAGCUAGUUGGCGGGGUAAAGGCCCACCAAGGCGACGAUCCGUAGCUGGUCUGAGAGGAUGAUCAGCCACACUGGAACUGAGACACGGUCCAGACUCCUACGGGAGGCAGCAGUGGGGAAUAUUGGACAAUGGGCGCAAGCCUGAUCCAGCCAUACCGCGUGGGUGAAGAAGGCCUUCGGGUUGUAAAGCCCUUUUGUUGGGAAAGAAAAGCAGCAGGUUAAUACCCCGCUGUUCUGACGGUACCCAAAGAAUAAGCACCGGCUAACUUCGUG